Molecule: non-coding RNA, 865 nt
Organism: Parasteatoda tepidariorum (common house spider)
Lineage: Eukaryota; Metazoa; Arthropoda; Arachnida; Araneae; Theridiidae
Source: RefSeq, a predicted model, not a curated record
UUAUUCCAGGGUACUUUAUGAAGGAAAGGAGAAAGUCAUGGCUGGCAGUGAAGUGGUCCUAAAUGCAGCAGGUGGUCAUUUAGCGAAUGUGAUCAAAAACUUUUAUUACAUAUCGGAGGGCACCUGAAAAUGCUCCCUGCAAUCAACUAGUUGUUACUGAUAUGUGUAUCAUAUUAGCAAAUAAGAAUGAAAAUCCACCUCAUGCAUUUUGUAAAAUCAACAGAAAUUUAAAUAAAGGAGUGCUUGGUUCAGGCAUCCAUUUAUGCUAUAAAAAAUCCAUGAAUCGGCCAGAUCUAUAUUGUUAUAAACCUGGGGUGCUUCUUUUAUUCAGUUGCUGAAAAAUGUUGGACCUGACAAAUGCUUUAAAGUCCUACUGUUUGCCCUGACUGAACAAAAGAUACUUUUCCAUUCACGGGGCCUGAUGUUUUGACUAGUGUGGCCGAAGCUGUAGUAAUGCCAGAAAUAAAAAUAUUUUUCUAAUUAAAAAGAUGAAAUCCAGUUUAGAAGUAUCUGAGUAAAUAUACUAAAAAAUAGACAUUUAAAUGCAUGAAAUGCAUGUCUAGAUGAAAAAUUUAAAUUAUACUCAUUUUUGAAGUUUUUGAAGCAUUUGAAGAAACUUGAUUAAUUUGUUUCAUUGCGUACUAAACGUACUAUUAUCUCAAUAUAGUUGUGAAAGACUCAAAUAGUCGUUUGCCAUGAUUUAAGUAAUUUACAAACUUUCGACUGUUUAGAUAAGGAGCUGAAAGAUAAGGAAAAGAGCGUAAAAUGAUGUUGUGUGGCCUCUAUCGUUAUGUCCUUUUAUUAACCGCAAAAAAUAAUAAGCUAGAGUAGUACUAAUUUGAACAGUACAUACCUAUAAGUGGUU